This 484-nucleotide ribosomal RNA is filed under the name uncultured bacterium. Its description in RNAcentral is "partial 16S ribosomal RNA". It matches the Rfam family "Bacterial small subunit ribosomal RNA", at positions 30 to 507 of the family's 1533-position model. The record is from RNAcentral.
ACUGAACGCUGGCGGCAGGCCUAACACAUGCAAGUCGAGCGGAUGAAGGGAGCUUGCUCCUGGAUUCAGCGGCGGACGGGUGAGUAAUGCCUAGGAAUCUGCCUGGUAGUGGGGGAUAACGUCCGGAAACGGGCGCUAAUACCGCAUACGUCCUGAGGGAGAGAGUGGGGGAUCUUCGGACCUCACGCUAUCAGAUGAGCCUAGGUCGGAUUAGCUAGUUGGUGGGGUAAAGGCCUACCAAGGCGACGAUCCGUAACUGGUCUGAGAGGAUGAUCAGUCACACUGGAACUGAGACACGGUCCAGACUCCUACGGGAGGCAGCAGUGGGGAAUAUUGGACAAUGGGCGAAAGCCUGAUCCAGCCAUGCCGCGUGUGUGAAGAAGGUCUUCGGAUUGUAAAGCACUUUAAGUUGGGAGGAAGGGCAGUAAGUUAAUACCUUGCUGUUUUGACGUUACCAACAGAAUAAGCACCGGCUAACUUCGUG